UUCAAGAUGGUGCAAGUCUUAUCAAGUCAAACAAGGAGAAAUAAAGAAGACUUUAUUUUAGAAGGAAUCCUAUUUUUAUAACAAUUGUAAUUAUUCCUUAGGUAGGAUUUCUAGGAGGUUUAUAAAUAGGGAGUUUAGGUCAUUGUUGAAGGGAUCCAUUACCCAUCAUCCAUCCUCCAUCAUCUACCCUAAAAUUCCUACACAUUCAUACUCAUCACCGAAACACUCAAAGGAGAGAGAGAGAGUUUUAGAGAGACAAAGAAGACAAC
Molecule: long non-coding RNA, 269 nt
Filed under: Prunus persica (peach)
Lineage: Eukaryota; Viridiplantae; Streptophyta; Magnoliopsida; Rosales; Rosaceae
Description: long non-coding RNA (PPER_LNC005431)
Source: RNAcentral